UGAGAGCCCAUUAUUGAGGUACGUCCUUACU
RNAcentral lists this non-coding RNA (31 nucleotides) under Rattus norvegicus (Norway rat). Lineage: Eukaryota; Metazoa; Chordata; Mammalia; Rodentia; Muridae. The record is from RNAcentral.